AGAAGCGAACCUGCGAAGGCAAGCGGAUCUCUUAAAGCCGUUCUCAGUUCGGACUGUAGGCUGCAACUCGCCUACACGAAGCUGGAAUCGCUAGUAAUCGCGGAUCAGCACGCCGCGGUGAAUACGUUCCCGGGCCUUGUACACACCGCCCGUCACACCAUGAGAGUCUGUAACACCCAAAGCCGGUGGGAUAACCUUUAUAGGAGUCAACCGUCUAAGGUAGGACAGAUGAUUAGGGUGAAGUCGUAACAAGGUACC
Molecule: ribosomal RNA, 258 nt
Filed under: uncultured bacterium
Lineage: Bacteria
Description: partial 16S ribosomal RNA
Rfam family: Bacterial small subunit ribosomal RNA
Source: RNAcentral